RNAcentral lists this ribosomal RNA (433 nucleotides) under uncultured bacterium. RNAcentral describes it as "partial 16S ribosomal RNA". It matches the Rfam family "Bacterial small subunit ribosomal RNA", at positions 29 to 507 of the family's 1533-position model. The record is from RNAcentral.
AACGAACGCUGGCGGCAUGCCUAACACAUGCAAGUCGAACGAGACCUUCGGGUCUCGUGGCGCACGGGUGCGUAACGCGUGGGAACCUGCCCUUAGGUUCGGAAUAACUCCCCGAAAGGGGUGCUAAUACCGGAUAAUGUCUUCGGACCAAAGAUUUAUCGCCUUUGGAUGGGCCCGCGUUGGAUUAGCUAGUUGGUAGGGUAAAAGCCUACCAAGGCGACGAUCCAUAGCUGGUCUGAGAGGAUGAUCAGCCACACUGGGACUGAGACACGGCCCAGACUCCUACGGGAGGCAGCAGUGGGGAAUAUUGGACAAGGGGCGAGAGCCUGAUCCAGCAAUGCCGCGUGAGUGAUGAAGGCCUUAGGGUUGUAAAGCUCUUUUACCCGGGAUGAUAAUGACAGUACCGGGAGAAUAAGCUCCGGCUAACUCCGUG